This 1417-nucleotide ribosomal RNA is filed under the name Limosilactobacillus fermentum. Its description in RNAcentral is "bacterial SSU rRNA". It matches the Rfam family "Bacterial small subunit ribosomal RNA". Lineage: Bacteria; Bacillati; Bacillota; Bacilli; Lactobacillales; Lactobacillaceae. The record is from RNAcentral.
AAUUGAUUGAUGGUGCUUGCACCUGAUUGAUUUUGGUCGCCAACGAGUGGCGGACGGGUGAGUAACACGUAGGUAACCUGCCCAGAAGCGGGGGACAACAUUUGGAAACAGAUGCUAAUACCGCAUAACAGCGUUGUUCGCAUGAACAACGCUUAAAAGAUGGCUUCUCGCUAUCACUUCUGGAUGGACCUGCGGUGCAUUAGCUUGUUGGUGGGGUAACGGCCUACCAAGGCGAUGAUGCAUAGCCGAGUUGAGAGACUGAUCGGCCACAAUGGGACUGAGACACGGCCCAUACUCCUACGGGAGGCAGCAGUAGGGAAUCUUCCACAAUGGGCGCAAGCCUGAUGGAGCAACACCGCGUGAGUGAAGAAGGGUUUCGGCUCGUAAAGCUCUGUUGUUAAAGAAGAACACGUAUGAGAGUAACUGUUCAUACGUUGACGGUAUUUAACCAGAAAGUCACGGCUAACUACGUGCCAGCAGCCGCGGUAAUACGUAGGUGGCAAGCGUUAUCCGGAUUUAUUGGGCGUAAAGAGAGUGCAGGCGGUUUUCUAAGUCUGAUGUGAAAGCCUUCGGCUUAACCGGAGAAGUGCAUCGGAAACUGGAUAACUUGAGUGCAGAAGAGGGUAGUGGAACUCCAUGUGUAGCGGUGGAAUGCGUAGAUAUAUGGAAGAACACCAGUGGCGAAGGCGGCUACCUGGUCUGCAACUGACGCUGAGACUCGAAAGCAUGGGUAGCGAACAGGAUUAGAUACCCUGGUAGUCCAUGCCGUAAACGAUGAGUGCUAGGUGUUGGAGGGUUUCCGCCCUUCAGUGCCGGAGCUAACGCAUUAAGCACUCCGCCUGGGGAGUACGACCGCAAGGUUGAAACUCAAAGGAAUUGACGGGGGCCCGCACAAGCGGUGGAGCAUGUGGUUUAAUUCGAAGCUACGCGAAGAACCUUACCAGGUCUUGACAUCUUGCGCCAACCCUAGAGAUAGGGCGUUUCCUUCGGGAACGCAAUGACAGGUGGUGCAUGGUCGUCGUCAGCUCGUGUCGUGAGAUGUUGGGUUAAGUCCCGCAACGAGCGCAACCCUUGUUACUAGUUGCCAGCAUUAAGUUGGGCACUCUAGUGAGACUGCCGGUGACAAACCGGAGGAAGGUGGGGACGACGUCAGAUCAUCAUGCCCCUUAUGACCUGGGCUACACACGUGCUACAAUGGACGGUACAACGAGUCGCGAACUCGCGAGGGCAAGCAAAUCUCUUAAAACCGUUCUCAGUUCGGACUGCAGGCUGCAACUCGCCUGCACGAAGUCGGAAUCGCUAGUAAUCGCGGAUCAGCAUGCCGCGGUGAAUACGUUCCCGGGCCUUGUACACACCGCCCGUCACACCAUGAGAGUUUGUAACACCCAAAGUCGGUGGGGUAACCUUUUAGGAGCCA